RNAcentral lists this unclassified non-coding RNA (329 nucleotides) under soil metagenome. RNAcentral's name for it is "partial contains 5.8S ribosomal RNA, internal transcribed spacer 2, and large subunit ribosomal RNA". The stretch from base 1 to 120 matches the Rfam family "5.8S ribosomal RNA", at positions 35 to 154 of the family's 154-position model. The record is from RNAcentral.
GAUGAAGAACGUAGCGAAAUGCGAUAAGUAGUGUGAAUUGCAGAAUUCAGUGAAUCAUCGAAUCUUUGAACGCACAUUGCGCCCCUUGGUAUCCCGAGGGGCAUGCCUGUUCGAGCGUCAUUUCACCACUCAAGCCUGGCUUGGUGUUGGGCGACGUCCUCUUUGGGGACGCGCCUCGAAACGCUCGGCGGCGUGGCACCGGCUUUAAGCGUAGCAGAAUCUUUCGCUUUGGAAGUCGGGGCCCCGUCUGCCGGAAGACCUGCUCGCAAGGUUGACCUCGGAUCAGGCAGGGAUACCCGCUGAACUUAAGCAGAUCAAUAAGCGGAGGA